This 65-nucleotide transfer RNA is filed under the name Peltonotellus sp. RNAcentral describes it as "tRNA-Met". Lineage: Eukaryota; Metazoa; Arthropoda; Insecta; Hemiptera; Caliscelidae. The record is from RNAcentral.
AAAAAGAUAAGCUAAAUUUUAAGCUGAUGGGUUCAUACCCCAUUCAUGAAUAAUUUCUCUUUUUA